RNAcentral lists this long non-coding RNA (227 nucleotides) under Brassica napus (rape). Its description in RNAcentral is "long non-coding RNA (BNAP_LNC013368)". Lineage: Eukaryota; Viridiplantae; Streptophyta; Magnoliopsida; Brassicales; Brassicaceae. The record is from RNAcentral.
AUAUAAUAAGCAUUAACUUUCAGUUUGAUAUUUUAUUGUUAGUUGACGAGAAUGUGUACAUCUACAUUUUGCAAGAAAUCUAUCUGGGUUAUAAGAUAAACUUUGAAAUGAUCCUCCACUCCUUUACCAACUCAAGCACUAUGAUCAUCUACUCAUCAAGCACUAUGAUCAUCUACUCAUCAAACACUAUGAUCACCCACUCAUUUACCAAAUCAAGCACCAUCUUU